This is a long non-coding RNA of Numida meleagris (helmeted guineafowl), 305 nucleotides long. RefSeq lists it as uncharacterized. The transcript has 3 exons. NCBI's taxonomy places the organism in Eukaryota, Metazoa, Chordata, Aves, Galliformes, Numididae. The record is from RefSeq and is a predicted model, not a curated record.
UUGCCUUCAAAUCCUGAGGAGUUUCAGAAGUUAGAGUCAACUUUUCACUGUACCAAACUAAGUGAACAGACAUAAAUGAAAAACUUCAAUAGCGCAACAAGCUCUGCUCAAAGAAGCUCACCCAGCAAAGAAUUCAGUGCUUUGGCUUUUGUUAAAAGAGAGCAUGAUGAAACACAAGAGGACUGUGGACAGUGCUAGCUAAGAAUAAAGAAAUAAAAAACAGUGCCAUCUUGUGGCCUACAGUAUUCUGAAUGUUGCCAAGAGGAAAGAGGAAAACCUUUUACACAAAGAAAAAAAAAAUACAG